AUGCUCGUUUCAGCAGCACAGAUACUAAAACUGGAACGAUACAGAGAAGAUUAGUGUGGCCCUUACACAAAGAUGACACACAAAUUCGUGAAGCUUCCAUAUUUUUU
This is a small nuclear RNA of Neofelis nebulosa (Clouded leopard), 107 nucleotides long. NCBI's taxonomy places the organism in Eukaryota, Metazoa, Chordata, Mammalia, Carnivora, Felidae. The record is from RefSeq and is a predicted model, not a curated record.